GAUGAAGAACGCAGCAAAAUGCGAUAAGUAAUGUGAAUUGCAGAAUUCAGUGAAUCAUCGAAUCUUUGAACGCACAUUGCACCUCUCGGUAUUCCGGGAGGUAUGCCUGUUCGAGCGUCAUUUGUACCCUCAAGCUCUGCUUGGUGUUGGGUGUUUGUUCCGCCUCUGUGUGUGAACUCGCCUCAAAACAAUUGGCAGCCGGCGUACUUGUUUCGGAGCGCAGCACAUUUUGCGAUCCAGAUCAACGUACAGCGGCAUCCAAGAAGCCUUAUUUAACGCUCUUGACCUCGGAUCAGGUAGGGAUACCCGCUGAACUUAAGCAUAUCAAUAAGCGGAGGA
RNAcentral lists this unclassified non-coding RNA (339 nucleotides) under soil metagenome. Its description in RNAcentral is "partial contains 5.8S ribosomal RNA, internal transcribed spacer 2, and large subunit ribosomal RNA". The stretch from base 1 to 120 matches the Rfam family "5.8S ribosomal RNA", at positions 35 to 154 of the family's 154-position model. The record is from RNAcentral.